RNAcentral lists this ribosomal RNA (440 nucleotides) under uncultured bacterium. RNAcentral's name for it is "partial 16S ribosomal RNA". It matches the Rfam family "Bacterial small subunit ribosomal RNA", at positions 338 to 795 of the family's 1533-position model. The record is from RNAcentral.
CCUACGGGAGGCAGCAGUGGGGAAUAUUGCACAAUGGGGGGAACCCUGAUGCAGCGACGCCGCGUGAGUGAAGAAGUAUUUCGGUAUGUAAAGCUCUAUCAGCAGGGAAGAAAAUGACGGUACCUGACUAAGAAUCCCCGGCUAACUACGUGCCAGCAGCCGCGGUAAUACGUAGGGGGCAAGCGUUAUCCGGAUUUACUGGGUGUAAAGGGAGCGCAGACGGCUGUGCAAGUCUGGAGUGAAAGGCGGGGGCCCAACCCCCGGACUGCAUUGGAAACUGUAAAGCUUGAGUGCAGGAGAGGGAAGCGGAAGUCCUAGUGUAGCGGUGAAAUGCGUAGAUAUUAGGAGGAACACCAGUGGCGAAGGCGGCUUACUGGACUGUAACUGACGUUGAGGCUCGAAAGCGUGGGGAGCAAACAGGAUUAGAUACCCCUGUAGUC